UGUGGGGUAGCUCAGUUGGUUAGAGCACUAUAUAUGAAAAUAAGUCUUGAAAAAGUCUUUAACAGCAAUCCAAUAUUGCCAGGGGUGUAGGUGUCAUGGGUUCGAAUCCCAUCCCCACAA
Molecule: transfer RNA, 120 nt
Filed under: Lachnospiraceae bacterium
Lineage: Bacteria; Bacillati; Bacillota; Clostridia; Lachnospirales; Lachnospiraceae
Description: tRNA-OTHER
Rfam family: tRNA
About the family: Transfer RNA (tRNA) molecules are approximately 80 nucleotides in length. Their secondary structure includes four short double-helical elements and three loops (D, anti-codon, and T loops).
Source: RNAcentral